This 491-nucleotide ribosomal RNA is filed under the name uncultured bacterium. RNAcentral describes it as "partial 16S ribosomal RNA". It matches the Rfam family "Bacterial small subunit ribosomal RNA", at positions 29 to 507 of the family's 1533-position model. The record is from RNAcentral.
GUGAACGCUGGCGGUCGGCCUCACCCCUGCCCGUCGAACGGCAGCACCGUAAGAGCUUGCUCUUACGGGUGGCGAGUGGCGGACGGGUGAGGAAUACAUCGGAAUCUACUUUUUCGUGGGGGAUAACGUAGGGAAACUUACGCUAAUACCGCAUACGACCUACGGGUGAAAGCAGGGGAUCUUCGGACCUUGCGCGAUUGAAUGAGCCGAUGUCGGAUUGGCUAGUUGGCGGGGUAAAGGCCCACCAAGGCGACGAUCCGUAGCUGGUCUGAGAGGAUGAUCAGCCACACUGGAACUGAGACACGGUCCAGACUCCUACGGGAGGCAGCAGUGGGGAAUAUUGGACAAUGGGCGCAAGCCUGAUCCAGCCAUACCGCGUGGGUGAAGAAGGCCUUCGGGUUGUAAAGCCCUUUUGUUGGGAAAGAAAAGCAGCAGGUUAAUACCCCGCUGUUCUGACGGUACCCAAAGAAUAAGCACCGGCUAACUUCGUG